Long non-coding RNA from Amphimedon queenslandica, 393 nucleotides. RefSeq lists it as uncharacterized. The record is from RefSeq and is a predicted model, not a curated record. The transcript is spliced from 2 exons. Lineage: Eukaryota; Metazoa; Porifera; Demospongiae; Haplosclerida; Niphatidae.
GUUCACACUGACUUUUAAAUCUGCAUAAUGUAAUAACUUUCUUAUUUUAAAUGCUACAGACAGCGGUUUUUCUCCAUUAUAAUCCUCUCCAAAACCCUGGUAUUUUGAUAUAUGAUAAAGCUAGAGCGCAGUUAUAGAAAAGGAGAAGUAAAAUCAAAGCACAUGGACACUUAAAGAGCACUUGACGCCAUUACUACCACCCACGUGCGGUUAUCGCGUAGGCGGAUAAAAUAAAAUGGCCGCUGCAGCUACUAUCAAGAAGAAGUGGGAAACAGACUUUGAACAAUGUACAAGACUCAAAGGAAAGGCCAAUACAAUUAUAGAACUGAGUAUUAUAGCAAUAAGAAACAUAGUCAGAAUGUGACAAAUAACAGUCCAAGAUCUCAACUUGAA